Molecule: ribosomal RNA, 274 nt
Filed under: uncultured bacterium
Lineage: Bacteria
Description: partial 16S ribosomal RNA
Rfam family: Bacterial small subunit ribosomal RNA
Source: RNAcentral
AUACGGAGGGUGCAAGCGUUACUCGGAAUCACUGGGCGUAAAGCGCGCGCAGGCGGCUAUUUAAGUUGGAUGUGAAAGCCUACGGCUCAACCGUAGAACUGCAUCCAAAACUAUUUAGCUAGAGUGUGGGAGAGGAAGAUGGAAUUAGUUGUGUAGGGGUAAAAUCCGUAGAGAUAACUAGGAAUACCAAAAGCGAAGGCAAUCUUCUGGAACACUACUGACGCUGAGGCGCGAAAGCGUGGGGAGCAAACGGGAUUAGAAACCCUGGUAGUCC